GACGAACGCUGGCGGCGUGCCUAACACAUGCAAGUCGAACGGGGUGUCGGGAGCUUGCUUCUGACACUUAGUGGCGAACGGGUGAGUAACGCGUGAGGAACCUGCCUUUCAGUGGGGGACAACAGUUGGAAACGACUGCUAAUACCGCAUAACGUAUUCGGACCGCAUGAUCUGAAUACCAAAGCUUUAUGUGCUGAAAGAUGGCCUCGCGUCUGAUUAGCUAGUUGGUGGGGUAACGGCCUACCAAGCCGACGAUCUUUAGCUGGUCUGAGAGGAUGAUCAGCCACACUGGGACUGAGACACGGCCCAG
Molecule: ribosomal RNA, 310 nt
Filed under: uncultured bacterium
Lineage: Bacteria
Description: bacterial SSU rRNA
Rfam family: Bacterial small subunit ribosomal RNA
Source: RNAcentral